RNAcentral lists this ribosomal RNA (429 nucleotides) under Gemmatimonadota bacterium. RNAcentral's name for it is "Gemmatimonadetes bacterium partial 16S ribosomal RNA". It matches the Rfam family "Bacterial small subunit ribosomal RNA", at positions 355 to 776 of the family's 1533-position model. The record is from RNAcentral. Lineage: Bacteria; Pseudomonadati; Gemmatimonadota.
UAGGGAAUCUUCGGCAAUGGACGAAAGUCUGACCGAGCAACGCCGCGUGAGUGAAGAAGGUUUUCGGAUCGUAAAACUCUGUUGUUAGAGAAGAACAAGGACGUUAGUAACUGAACGUCCCCUGACGGUAUCUAACCAGAAAGCCACGGCUAACUACGUGCCAGCAGCCGCGGUAAUACGUAGGUGGCAAGCGUUGUCCGGAUUUAUUGGGCGUAAAGCGAGCGCAGGCGGUUUCUUAAGUCUGAUGUGAAAGCCCCCGGCUCAACCGGGGAGGGUCAUUGGAAACUGGGGGACUUGAGUGCAGAGGAGGAGAGUGGAAUUCCAGGUGUAGCGGUGAAGUGCGUAGAUAUAUGGAGGAACACCAGUGGCGAAGGCGGCUCUCUGGUCUGUAACUGACGCUGAGGCUAAAAAGCGUGGGGAGCAAACAGG